CGGUCUGUUAAGUCAGAUGUGAAAUNCCCCCGGGCUUAACCUGGGAACUGCAUUUGAAACUGGCAGGCUAGAGUCUCGUAGAGGGGGGUAGAAUUCCAGGUGUAGCGGUGAAAUGCGUAGAGAUCUGGAGGAAUACCGGUGGCGAAGGCGGCCCCCUGGACGAAGACUGACGCUCAGGUACGAAAGCGUGGGGAGCAAACAGGAUUAGAUACCCUGGUAGUCCACGCUGUAAACGAUGUCGAUUUGAAGGUUGUGGCCUUGAGCCGUGGCUUUCGGAGCUAACGCGUUAAAUCGACCGCCUGGGGAGUACGGCCGCAAGGUUAAAACUCAAAUGAAUUGACGGGGGCCCGCACAAGCGGUGGAGCAUGUGGUUUAAUUCGAUGCAACGCGAAGAACCUUACCUACUCUUGACAUCCAGAGAACUUAGCAGAGAUGCUUUGGUGCCUUCGGGAACUCUGAGACAGGUGCUGCAUGGCUGUCGUCAGCUCGUGUUGUGAAAUGUUGGGUUAAGUCCCGCAACGAGCGCAACCCUUAUCCUUUGUUGCCAGCGAUUUGGUCGGGAACUCAAAGGAGACUGCCGGUGAUAAACCGGAGGAAGGUGGGGAUGACGUCAAGUCAUCAUGGCCCUUACGAGUAGGGCUACACACGUGCUACAAUGGCGCAUACAAAGAGAAGCGAUCUCGCGAGAGUCAGCGGACCUCAUAAAGUGCGUCGUAGUCCGGAUUGGAGUCUGCAACUCGACUCCAUGAAGUCGGAAUCGCUAGUAAUCGUGGAUCAGAAUGCCACGGUGAAUACGUUCCCGGGCCUUGUACACACCGCCCGUCACAACCAGUGGGAGUGGGUUGCAAAAGAAGUAGGUAGCUUAACCUUCGGGAGGGCGCUACCACUU
RNAcentral lists this ribosomal RNA (889 nucleotides) under uncultured bacterium. RNAcentral describes it as "bacterial SSU rRNA". It matches the Rfam family "Bacterial small subunit ribosomal RNA", at positions 576 to 1462 of the family's 1533-position model. The record is from RNAcentral.